CUUGACGACCAUAGAGCAUUGGAACCACCUGAUCCCAUCCCGAACUCAGCAGUGAAACGAUGCAUCGCCGAUGGUUAGUGUGGGGUUUCCCCAUGUGAGAGUAGUCAUCGUCAGAU
Molecule: ribosomal RNA, 116 nt
Filed under: Pseudomonas fluorescens Q2-87
Lineage: Bacteria; Pseudomonadati; Pseudomonadota; Gammaproteobacteria; Pseudomonadales; Pseudomonadaceae
Source: RNAcentral